GGNCGGGGGCAAGCGUUGUUCGGAAUUACUGGGCGUAAAGGGCUCGUAGGUGGCCAACUAAGUCAGACGUGAAAUCCCUCGGCUUAACCGGGGAACUGCGUCUGAUACUGGAUGGCUUGAGUUCGGGAGAGGGAUGCGGAAUUCCAGGUGUAGCGGUGAAAUGCGUAGAUAUCUGGAGGAACACCGGUGGCGAAGGCGGCAUCCUGGACCGACACUGACACUGAGGAGCGAAAGCCAGGGGAGCAAACGGGAUUAGAUACCCCGGUAGUCCUGGCCCUAAACGAUGAAUGCUUGGUGUGGCGGGUAUCGAUCCCUGCCGUGCCGAAGCUAACGCAUUAAGCAUUCCGCCUGGGGAGUACGGUCGCAAGGCUG
This 372-nucleotide ribosomal RNA is filed under the name uncultured bacterium. Its description in RNAcentral is "bacterial SSU rRNA". It matches the Rfam family "Bacterial small subunit ribosomal RNA", at positions 526 to 896 of the family's 1533-position model. The record is from RNAcentral.